This 541-nucleotide ribosomal RNA is filed under the name uncultured bacterium. Its description in RNAcentral is "SSU rRNA". It matches the Rfam family "Bacterial small subunit ribosomal RNA", at positions 8 to 525 of the family's 1533-position model. The record is from RNAcentral.
AGAGUUUGAUCAUGGCUCAGAACGAACGCUGGCGGCGUGCUUAACACAUGCAAGUCGAACGCGAAAGGGACUUCGGUCCCGAGUAGAGUGGCGCACGGGUGAGUAACGCGUAAGUAAUCUACCCCUGUAUCUGGAAUAACCCACCGAAAGGUGAGCUAAUACCGGAUACGUUUAUCUUGAUGCGAAUGAUGAUAAAGAAAGGUGGCCUCUUCAUGAAAGCUACCGUACAGGGACGAGCUUGCGUACCAUUAGCUGGUUGGUAGGGUAAUGGCCUACCAAGGCGACGAUGGUUAGCGGGUCUGAGAGGAUGAUCCGCCACACUGGAACUGAAACACGGACCAGACUCCUACGGGAGGCAGCAGUGAGGAAUAUUGCGCAAUGGGGGCAACCCUGACGCAGCGACGCCGCGUGGACGAUGAAGGCCCUUGGGUCGUAAAAUCCUGUCAGAUGGAAAGAAAUGUACAGGUGUUAAUAUCGCCUGUAUUUGACGGUACCAUCAAAGGAAGCACCGGCUAACUCCGUGCCAGCMGCCGCGGUAAUA